Molecule: ribosomal RNA, 468 nt
Filed under: uncultured bacterium
Lineage: Bacteria
Description: partial 16S ribosomal RNA
Rfam family: Bacterial small subunit ribosomal RNA
Source: RNAcentral
GACGAACGCUGGCGGCGUGCUCAACACAUGCAAGUCGAACGGAAAGGCCCUGCUUUUGUGGGGUGCUCGAUUGUCGAACGGGUGAGUAACACGUGAGUAACCUGCCCUUGACUUUUGGAUAACUUCAGGAAACUGGGGCUAAUACCGGAUAGGAGCUCCUGCUGUAUGGUGGGGGUUGGAAAGUUUCGGCGGUUGGGGAUGGACUCGCGGCUUAUCAGCUUGUUGGUGGGGUAGUGUCUUACCAAGGCCUUGACGGGUAGCCGGCCUGAGAGGAUGACCGGCCACAUAGGGACUGAGAUACAGCCCAGACUCCUACGGGAAGCAGAAGUGGGGAAUAUUACACAAUGGGCGGAAGCCUGAUGCAGCAACGCCGCGUGCGGGAUGAAGGACUUCGGGUUGUAAACCGCUUUCGCCUGUGACGAAGCGUGAGUGGAAGUAAUGGGUAAAGAAGCACCGGCUAACUACGUG